Molecule: long non-coding RNA, 950 nt
Filed under: Carica papaya (papaya)
Lineage: Eukaryota; Viridiplantae; Streptophyta; Magnoliopsida; Brassicales; Caricaceae
Description: long non-coding RNA (CPAP_LNC001661)
Source: RNAcentral
CCUUUUCGGGUCCUGAAAAUAAGUAAGGAUUCCUCACCCUAUUUUCUAUCACGGUAUUAAAGUGCAAUAAAUGAUAAAAUGGUAUUUCAUGAAUCAAUAACUAUGUGAAAUUAUUUAAGGUUGCUAAUGGAGCCCGAGUCUAGUGUAUUUGUCGGUUAGUUGUUAUUUGUUCUAUUUUACAGUUUUAAAUGGAAUAUGAUGUCUGAUGUUUUUAUUUCAUAGUUUCGUGUGCAUGUAUCACUGUUUCAUUGAUUAUGGACUGAAUGACUGCGAACCCGAUGUUGUGUGUUGUCUUGUUGGCAUGAACUACUGGUUUGCAUAUUUGUGUGUUACUUGAUGAUGGUGACUAAAGAAAAAGGGAUAAAAGGUUAUGUGAAUUGGCAAACGGAUAAUGUGGACAGUCUGACUAGGUAUCCUGGUUGAUGGUGGACGGACCGAGUCUCCGUAGAAAAUCCUACCGGAAACGUGGUCUCUUAUACCAGACGGGGUAUGGAGACCUUACGUGUUUUGGCGCUCAUACCGGACGGGGUAUGGGGACGGCCCGUUUCACCCUCAUACCGGACGAGGUAUUGAGGUUCAUGGUUUUGGCGCCCAUACCGAACGGGGUAUGGGGUAAGCCCCAGAAUCAGGUUAUAAAUGUUAAGGGUUCACGGGUAGCGGGACCCCUAUGGAUCCCUAUGGAUACUAGUAGGCUGGUAAAGAGGAAUUAUGCUGUUUAAAGAUUAAAAUGCAAACGCGUGAUAAAUGUUGUAUUAUAAAGUCUAUGUGAUAACGUGAUGAUGAUAAUGUGUUUCUUGUGUAUUGUUUUAUGGAUCUCACCCAGGUAAAUGGAAAGUAAACGUUUUUAUGAACAAAUGGGUUUAUUACAAAUUAUGCUCAAUUGGUCGUUUUUGUUUUCUACCCACCCUUACUCCUGUGGCAGUGAGGUAGAGCGAUGUCUUUACAGGGCU